GGGAGCGUAGCUCAGAUGGUAGAGUGCUCGCUUAACAUGCGAGAGGUACGAGGAUUGAUACCCCCUCGCCUCCG
RNAcentral lists this transfer RNA (74 nucleotides) under Trichonephila inaurata madagascariensis. It matches the Rfam family "tRNA". Rfam says of the family: Transfer RNA (tRNA) molecules are approximately 80 nucleotides in length. Their secondary structure includes four short double-helical elements and three loops (D, anti-codon, and T loops). The record is from Rfam by way of RNAcentral. Lineage: Eukaryota; Metazoa; Arthropoda; Arachnida; Araneae; Nephilidae.